RNAcentral lists this ribosomal RNA (446 nucleotides) under uncultured bacterium. RNAcentral describes it as "SSU rRNA". It matches the Rfam family "Bacterial small subunit ribosomal RNA", at positions 26 to 518 of the family's 1533-position model. The record is from RNAcentral.
AGAAUGAACGCUGGCGGCAUGCCUAACACAUGCAAGUCGAACGAAGCCUUCGGGUUUAGUGGCGCACGGGUGCGUAACGCGUGGGAAUCUACCCCUUGGUUCGGAAUAACAGUUGGAAACGACUGCUAAUACCGGAUGAUGACGUAAGUCCAAAGAUUUAUCGCCGAGGGAUGAGCCCGCGUAGGAUUAGGUAGUUGGUGUGGUAAAGGCGCACCAAGCCGACGAUCCUUAGCUGGUCUGAGAGGAUGAUCAGCCACACUGGGACUGAGACACGGCCCAGACUCCUACGGGAGGCAGCAGUGGGGAAUAUUGGACAAUGGGCGAAAGCCUGAUCCAGCAAUGCCGCGUGAGUGAUGAAGGCCUUAGGGUUGUAAAGCUCUUUUACCCGGGAUGAUAAUGACAGUACCGGGAGAAUAAGCUCCGGCUAACUCCGCGCCAGCAGCCGC